ACUUCAGAUUGCAGAUUUGCCAAAGCUUCAUGUAGAGUCCUUCUCUCUUUUAUCACGAGUAAAAGUUCAGGUUUAAAAUAGAACAACGGAUGACUAAUGUCAUUUCCAGCUGUGACUGAAUUCUCCACUGCCUGAUGCUUUUCAAAUGUGUCUGAAUCAGAAUCGAACACCCACUUUAUGCAUAGCUCCCUAAUCAGGAAGUUAUUCUUCCCAUCAAAGCAACUGGAAAAAAAAAAAGAUAAAACAAUGAAGGGAGGAGAAAACACAAAAGUUCAAGAAGAGCAGAAUGUUCCGGCAAGGAGAAAAAGCUGGGAAAAGUCACCAAUGAAUGACAGGGUUCACCACCAUCUUAGGAAUAUCAUGAAUAAAGCGUUAGAUUGGGUGUGCCCUAACUGAUGGUCACAAGCAUGAUACUAAUUAUCAGGGUGAACAAAGCAGGGGAGUAAGAGCAUCAGUAACUGUGAAACUCCAGGAGUUUGUCUUCAUUGUUUCAGUGAUAGGUACUGAGUGUUUCCCAUGUGUCAUACCCUAUGCCAGGUGCUGGGGAUGCAAUGGUAAAGGAACAGACCUGGCAAUAUUCCUCAUGGAGCUUGUGGUCUAGGACUGAAUGGGUCCCAUCAAUUUCAAAUAACAGCCAUGCUUGUUACAAAUGAUGAUAGAUUUUCUACUCAAAGGAAAAGAAUGUAGUUUAUUUCCACUUCUAUGGCUUCUAGAACUUUUUCCAUAAUGUAACCCUGAAGGAGAGCAUUAUAUUCAAAUUGGGGAUGAUGUUUUAAAUUAUUUUUAGCCCCAGUCCCAUCCUAUUAGUAUAAAUGGUUGAGACUGUGGUGUUUCCAUUUCCCUAGUGUAUAUUAUGUGCUUCCUGGUGACUUUUAAGUCAAGAACUGUAAUUGCCCAGGGAGCAUGAUUACAUUGUCAGUGCUCUACUGUAACACCCUCACUUUUUCAUACAUUCAUGAACC
RNAcentral lists this non-coding RNA (962 nucleotides) under Pongo abelii (Sumatran orangutan). The record is from RNAcentral. Lineage: Eukaryota; Metazoa; Chordata; Mammalia; Primates; Hominidae.